GCCUGGGAAACCCCAUGGACAGAGGAGCCUGGUGGCUACAGUCCAUGAGGUCACAAAAGAGUCUGACAUGAUGUAGCAACUGAACAACAGUUCACAUCUCUUCCAGCCUAUUCUCUCUCUUUUUUGACUACCAAACUACCUUUUUUGACUCUUUAGGAUAGUAGAGGUAUUUUUCUUUUCUUCUUUGAGAGUAUUUCUUUUUGUUCUAUAAUACCAUAUGUUUAACUAGGUACUUUUUUUACCUUAUUAAAAAUGACUGUAAAACAGUAGUACUCAAAACUUGAUGGUCCCAGGACACCUUUACACUGUUAAAGAUUGUUGUGGCCAGUAUUUAUCUAAUACUUACCAUCUUAGAAGUUAAAACUGGAAAAUUUAAACAAUAUUUAUUAAAAUUAUCGUGUUAGCACAAGUGAUUUUUUAAAAUUAAAAUACUUAUUUUCCAAAACAAAAACCAAUUUUGUGAGAAGAACAUUGUUUUACAUUUUGACAAAUUACUGUAUACAGUCUAGUAGAAUCCUCUCAUUCUCAUAUUUGCUUCUGCAUUCAGUCAGUUUUGCUAUCAUAAGUCAUGUAGCCUCUGGAAAACUUCAUUGUAUAUUGUGAGACAAUGAGAGUUAAAGAGGCAAAUAACAAUUUAUUUAGCAUGAUUAUAAAAGCACUUUUAACCUUGAAGACUCCCUGAAUGGGUUUCAAGGUCACCCAGCUUGGAUCACACCGAGAACUGCUGCAAAAAUUAUGUAACAGUGUAAUGGUCUUCCUUCUUGGUGUUCUGGACUUCUUAAUCUUUUGCUUUUAUAAUGUCUGAAAAAUUUUGUUUGAAUGAUUUUCUUAUGUAUAUUAAUGUUACAUUUUCUUCCAGUAGUUUCUGAAUGAGAUUGCACUGCUUGUGUCCUCCGUUGUCCUGUAGUUUUAUUUCUCAAAACUUUUUUAAUCCAACUCAAAUGAACUAAAAACAGAAGAUUUUUAAAAAUGAAGUAAUAUAAAGAUUGACCUUAUCUCACUCUACUCCCCUCCUUGCUUCUCUGCUCAUCUAGCACCUGUCUGCUCUCACCCUUCUCACGUUCUCGCCAUUGCUGGGCAAGAUUUCUACAGCUUCUGUCAUCUGGAUCAACCCCCCUGUUACCUAGAUUGCCUCAACCAUCUCUGUCUUCAGAUCUCUUCUAGUCGAUGUUCCUCAGUUGGCUUUAUUUUGUUUGAGCUUUUGUUCUGAUCUUGCAACUGGGCGCUUUAGUUUCAUUACCAUACCAGGUUACUCACCCAACUUUUUGUUUGUUUUUACUUUCUCCUGUCUCAUUUAAUUUUGUACUACAUUUUGAGAAAUAAUAUUGCAGUGAAACUUACAUUGUCAUAAAUAUUUUUAAAUAGUUGGAUAAUGUUUUAAUCCGAUCUAAAGUUUGUAUUUUUAGAAACAAUAGAAUCAUUUUGGAAAUCAAAUAUGAGCAGUUUCACCAAGUUCUUUUACAUCAGAGCUAGUGUAAUAUAUUGAUUAGGCUGAUAUUGAGAGAUACGGGUUUUCUCAUUGGAACUGUAGCUCUAGAAUCUUUUUGCUGAUUAAUUAUGGGCCUGUCCUCUACUUUGCCAACACAAGUGAGUUCAAGGCCAGUUGAAAGACUUACGGACUAAAAGUUAGGCUGAGUUAAAA
Bubalus bubalis (water buffalo) is the source of this 1642-nucleotide long non-coding RNA. RefSeq lists it as uncharacterized. The transcript has 2 exons. Lineage: Eukaryota; Metazoa; Chordata; Mammalia; Artiodactyla; Bovidae. The record is from RefSeq and is a predicted model, not a curated record.